Molecule: ribosomal RNA, 433 nt
Filed under: uncultured bacterium
Lineage: Bacteria
Description: partial 16S ribosomal RNA
Rfam family: Bacterial small subunit ribosomal RNA
Source: RNAcentral
AGCGAACGCUGGCGGCAGGCCUAACACAUGCAAGUCGAACGAACUCUUCGGAGUUAGUGGCGGACGGGUGAGUAACACGUGGGAACGUGCCUUUAGGUUCGGAAUAACUCAGGGAAACUUGUGCUAAUACCGAAUGUGCCCUUCGGGGGAAAGAUUUAUCGCCUUUAGAGCGGCCCGCGUCUGAUUAGCUAGUUGGUGAGGUAAAGGCUCACCAAGGCGACGAUCAGUAGCUGGUCUGAGAGGAUGAUCAGCCACAUUGGGACUGAGACACGGCCCAAACUCCUACGGGAGGCAGCAGUGGGGAAUCUUGCGCAAUGGGCGAAGGCCUGACGCAGCCAUGCCGCGUGAAUGAUGAAGGUCUUAGGAUUGUAAAAUUCUUUCACCGGGGACGAUAAUGACGGUACCCGGAGAAGAAGCCCCGGCUAACUUCGUG